UGGUGAAGCCAUAUCACCCUGCAGCCCAAGACUGGUUGCCCACUGAAGCUAAAGAGGGGUGAGCCUGGCAGUACCUGGAUGGGAGACCUCCUGGGAAAACUAGGUUGCUGUUGGAA
Molecule: ribosomal RNA, 116 nt
Filed under: Sinocyclocheilus grahami
Lineage: Eukaryota; Metazoa; Chordata; Actinopteri; Cypriniformes; Cyprinidae
Source: RNAcentral